RNAcentral lists this long non-coding RNA (248 nucleotides) under Gossypium raimondii (Peruvian cotton). RNAcentral's name for it is "long non-coding RNA (GRAI_LNC010050)". The record is from RNAcentral. Lineage: Eukaryota; Viridiplantae; Streptophyta; Magnoliopsida; Malvales; Malvaceae.
CUCUCUAAUUUAGUAAUCAAAAUUGAAUCAACACCUUUUUUUUCUAAUAUGAAAAUGCAAUGCAAUCAUAACCAAAACAAAAUGAAACAGAUUGGUGCAAAGCAAAAACAAACAAGAAAAAUAAAUAGGGUACCUAUUCGGGUGACCACUAGGGGUUUGGAGUGGUUCUACCUAGGGUGGGCUCCUAAGGUCUUCUACAUGCGGUUUGGUUCUAAAGUUGAGGUACCCGAACCAGCAGAUUCCUCAAU